Alligator mississippiensis (American alligator) is the source of this 1089-nucleotide long non-coding RNA. RefSeq lists it as uncharacterized. NCBI's taxonomy places the organism in Eukaryota, Metazoa, Chordata, Crocodylia, Alligatoridae. The transcript is spliced from 2 exons. The record is from RefSeq and is a predicted model, not a curated record.
GCCCUUUGGUUCCCUGUUGAACCAAGUGUCUCUUGAAGCAGCAGGUAUCUUAACUGCAUGGACACCGCCCAGGCAAUACAGUGCAUUGAACAAAGUGAUAUUGGGGUGGGCUGGACCCAUGCACGUCACUGUGCUGUACAGCGGGAUGGAGGCGAGGGCUGGUGUGUGACGUGGGGGUCAGGACCAGCCGGCUAUACGGGCUAACCUGUCCGCACUGCAUUUUGCUCUUUGAUGGUCGAUAAGUGGCAGGAUGCUCAGAGCUCGUGCAGGGGGCGUGGGGGGGCACAUCCAUUUGACCUUGAAAGGAAAGAAACAAAGAAGACAGAAGUGCACUCGUGUGCGUGUGCGGGGGGAGAUGGGACGACACAUGACCAGCAGCCACGGGACAGCCCGAGGCCACCGCAGGUGGUUCAAAGACAGCCAGAGACUGUUUGGAGAGUGGGAGCACAAGCCGCGUGCAGGCAGCAGAUAGCAACCCUGGGCUGGAGGCCAGAGCCACUCGGGGAGAAACGGGCACGUGCUCUUUGCUCCUCGCCCCCGGGACGUGGAUCCCAGCCUCACCUGCUCCUUCCCGACCUGCAACCCUGUGCACACUCAGGAUGGAGACAUUGAGGUCCCUUUUCGCUGGGAUGCGAGGGCACCAGAGAGAUUCAGCCUUCCUGGGGCAAGCUGUACGACAGGCGCACGCUUGCCACCGUGCCGGCGUGACCGCAGGACUCGGAGAGGAAGAAAAUCCUAGCACGGUGCAAAGCAUCUUCCAUCUGAUGCCAGCUCCAUGCAAGUCGAAGUUGCAAUCCCGAGUCCGCCUGGGGUGUCUGGGAGAGAGAGGACGACAGCGCAUAUCCGUCAACCCGGCAGACACCUGCUGCUCUGCAGAUCGCUCGCCGCGCGCUGGUUGGAAGCUGCCCCUCGCCUUGCUGCGCCUUUCAUGUCUUUGCGGCUCGUCCAGACAGGGCUGCUCUGCUGCUUAACUGUUCAUCUGCAGAAGGGAUGGCGCGGCCGUGUCCAGCGCGGGGAGAUCUUUCCCUUCGUCACGGCACACUAAUAGGUUAACUUAUUUACCGUAAAUAUAUUCCUAUUUAUGCUGGA